CCGAGGCACGCAGGGGAAGGCAGCAGCGUCUGCUAGAGAAGCGAGGGGGCCGUGUUUUCCUCUAGUGUCAGUUUAACAGAGCUCAGAUAUCGGCCCUCGGGGAGUAAUGAUCUCCUCCUGACUCGCUGGGCGCUGGUGCACAGGAAUGGGUGAUUCUACACAUGGCUUUGAAGGAGGGAGGCGGUGUGUGAAAGAAGACCUGGCUCCUGCUCUCCAUGUGCCGCAGGCAUUGGCCCCAUGUCUCCAGCAAUGAAGUUCAGCGCCAUGUUUCACAUCUCAGUGACCUCAACUCUUCGUGUCUUUUAAACCCACAUGUUUUCUUGAGAAGUUUUAUCCUGUUUAAUACAGAAGUUCAUUAGAAACUCUUUAAACUCUC
Long non-coding RNA from Neopsephotus bourkii (Bourke's parrot), 376 nucleotides. RefSeq lists it as uncharacterized. The transcript has 2 exons. NCBI's taxonomy places the organism in Eukaryota, Metazoa, Chordata, Aves, Psittaciformes, Psittacidae. The record is from RefSeq and is a predicted model, not a curated record.